Molecule: ribosomal RNA, 253 nt
Filed under: uncultured bacterium
Lineage: Bacteria
Description: partial 16S ribosomal RNA
Rfam family: Bacterial small subunit ribosomal RNA
Source: RNAcentral
UACGGGGGGGGCAAGCGUUGUUCGGAAUUACUGGGCGUAAAGGGCGCGUAGGCGGGCGGGCAAGUCUCUCGUGAAAGCCCACGGCUCAACCGUGGAAUUGCGGGAGAUACUGCCUGUCUUGAGUCCGGUAGAGGAGGGUGGAAUUCCCAGUGUAGCGGUGAAAUGCGUAGAUAUUGGGAGGAACACCGGUGGCGAAGGCGGCUCUCUGGACCGGUACUGACGCUGAGGCGCGAAAGCUAGGGGAGUAAACGGG